Molecule: ribosomal RNA, 250 nt
Filed under: uncultured prokaryote
Description: partial 16S ribosomal RNA
Rfam family: Bacterial small subunit ribosomal RNA
Source: RNAcentral
UACGUAGGGGGCAAGCGUUAUCCGGAUUUACUGGGUGUAAAGGGAGCGUAGACGGCAUGGCAAGUCUGAAGUGAAAGGCUGGGGCUCAACCCCGGGACUGCUUUGGAAACUGUUAAGCUAGAGUGCAGGAGAGGUAAGUGGAAUUCCUAGUGUAGCGGUGAAAUGCGUAGAUAUUAGGAGGAACACCGGUGGCGAAGGCGGCUUACUGGACUGUAACUGACGUUGAGGCUCGAAAGCUAGGGUAGCGAAC